This 355-nucleotide long non-coding RNA is filed under the name Neogale vison (American mink). RNAcentral describes it as "Neovison vison (American mink) lncRNA (ENSNVIG00000013935.1)". The record is from RNAcentral. Lineage: Eukaryota; Metazoa; Chordata; Mammalia; Carnivora; Mustelidae.
GGGAGACCCAGGAGCUUCCGGCGGAAGCUGGAUUUCACUACAGAGCGGUGACCCCAGAGGACAACCGUAGCAGGUUUCGGUGAGAGGAUACCAGAGCAGGCGGGCUGGAGAAACCGCAACGAAGAAUGCCUGCACUUUUCCAGAUCUUAGGGGGUAAAUGAGAGGAAAAGCCUGGUCUGCCUAUCUGCGCAAAGUGCCCCAGGUUUGGAGGAUUCACCCAAGGGAAGAGACCCACACACAAUUCAGACCCUUCAAGAAUCUACAGCCUGAAGAUACCCAUUCACAGAGCUCAUUCCUUCUCCAGGAGUUUCUCUGGAAUAGCUCUGGCUUAUUGUCCAGAGUGAGCAGGAGUCUC